AAUUUAAUCUGGCAGCAGAGAUACCGUGAUCACGAAGGUGAGCCCAGGGCGAGGCUCACGUAUUGCACUGCUGGUGUGCUGACCCCUGCGGUUUCCCCAAAUGUGGGAAACUGGACUGCAUAAUUUGUGGCAGUGGGGGACUGUGUUUGCACUGUCCCCUG
Small nuclear RNA from Ochotona princeps (American pika), 161 nucleotides. Its record names the gene U1. It matches the Rfam family "U1 spliceosomal RNA". Rfam says of the family: U1 is a small nuclear RNA (snRNA) component of the spliceosome (involved in pre-mRNA splicing). Its 5' end forms complementary base pairs with the 5' splice junction, thus defining the 5' donor site of an intron. Lineage: Eukaryota; Metazoa; Chordata; Mammalia; Lagomorpha; Ochotonidae. The record is from Ensembl.